CCUACGGGGGGCAGCAGUGGGGAAUAUUGGACAAUGGGGGGAACCCUGAUCCAGCCAUGCCGCGUGUGUGAAGAAGGCCCUCGGGUUGUAAAGCACUUUCAGUGAGGAAGAACGCCUGGUGGUUAAUACCCAUCAGGAAAGACAUCACUCACAGAAGAAGCACCGGCUAACUCCGUGCCAGCAGCCGCGGUAAUACGGAGGGUGCGAGCGUUAAUCGGAAUUACUGGGCGUAAAGCGCGCGUAGGUGGCUUGAUAAGCCGGUUGUGAAAGCCCCGGGCUCAACCUGGGAACGGCAUCCGGAACUGUCAAGCUAGAGUGCAGGAGAGGAAGGUAGAACUCCCGGUGUAGCGGUGAAAUGCGUAGAGAUCGGGAGGAAUACCAGUGGCGAAGGCGGCCUUCUGGACUGACACUGACACUGAGGUGCGAAAGCGUGGGUAGCAAACAGGAUUAGAUACCCCGGUAGUC
Molecule: ribosomal RNA, 465 nt
Filed under: Vreelandella stevensii
Lineage: Bacteria; Pseudomonadati; Pseudomonadota; Gammaproteobacteria; Oceanospirillales; Halomonadaceae
Description: partial 16S ribosomal RNA
Rfam family: Bacterial small subunit ribosomal RNA
Source: RNAcentral